This 374-nucleotide ribosomal RNA is filed under the name uncultured bacterium. Its description in RNAcentral is "bacterial SSU rRNA". It matches the Rfam family "Bacterial small subunit ribosomal RNA", at positions 28 to 404 of the family's 1533-position model. The record is from RNAcentral.
GAUGAACGCUAGCGGCAGGCUUAACACAUGCAAGUCGAGGGGUAUAGUUCUUCGGAAUUAGAGACCGGCGCACGGGUGCGUAACGCGUAUGCAAUCUACCUUUCACAGAGGGAUAGCCCCAGAGAAAUUUGGAUUAAUACCUCAUAGUAUAGCAGUUUCGCAUGAAACCACUAUUAAAGUCACAACGGUGAAAGAUGAGCAUGCGUCCCAUUAGCUAGUUGGUAAGGUAACGGCUUACCAAGGCAACGAUGGGUAGGGGUCCUGAGAGGGAGAUCCCCCACACUGGUACUGAGACACGGACCAGACUCCUACGGGAGGCAGCAGUGGGAAUUUUCCGCAAUCGGGGCGAAAGCCUGACGGAGCAAUACGCGUGA